RNAcentral lists this ribosomal RNA (245 nucleotides) under uncultured Smithella sp. RNAcentral's name for it is "partial 16S ribosomal RNA". It matches the Rfam family "Bacterial small subunit ribosomal RNA", at positions 524 to 768 of the family's 1533-position model. The record is from RNAcentral. Lineage: Bacteria; Pseudomonadati; Thermodesulfobacteriota; Syntrophia; Syntrophales; Smithellaceae.
UACGGGGGGUGCAAGCGUUGUUCGGAAUCAUUGGGCGUAAAGCGCGUGUAGGCGGCUUAACAAGUCAGAUGUGAAAUCCCUGGGCUUAACCCAGGAAGUGCAUUUGAAACUGUUUGGCUUGAGUAAGGGAGAGGAAAGUGGAAUUCCUGGUGUAGAGGUGAAAUUCGUAGAUAUCAGGAGGAACACCGGUGGCGAAGGCGACUUUCUGGCCCUAUACUGACGCUGAGACGCGAAAGCGUGGGUAG